AUGGGGAACCCCACACAGCAAGGAAGCCAGGCAGUGUCUUAGGAAUUGAGGAGAGCCUUUAGCUAGCAGCCUGCAAGGGCUUCCAGCAGCAAGCACAAAAAUGAGGCUCUUAGUCCUACAGCCACAAGGAACUUAACUCUGUCAACGACUACGUGAGCUUGGAAGUAAAUCCUUACCCACUUGAGGCUCAGAUAAGACCACAGCCUUGGCCAACACCUUGAUGCAGGUUUUAUGAGACCCUGAAUUGAUACCAACCCUGCUAUCAGUUUCCCCACAUUAAACCCAGCAUAUAUAGGGUUAAAACCAAAACACGCAUUCCCUGCUUACUCUCUGGCUUCCUGGCUCCAAAAUCCACUAUCCUCCAUGGAGACAGACACCGUCAAGGACAAGCACCUGGACUAUCUCCUCCCGCAAAGAGAUAGAGGCUGGUGGGAAAGCUGCUGAUCAGCAAGGUCAUGGGCUGCCUCCUCUCUGCAAGUGUCUCAAGGCCAAAGACAGGCUGGUGGGAAAGCUCUGACCAGCAAGGCCAUAUGCUCCCCCUCCCCUACCUAAAACCCCAAAUAAAAACCCUUCCUUUUAGCUUUUUGGGGAUUUUGGGAUUUCAGCGUUAGCUGCCCUCUCUCCUUGCUCAGUGCUGUGCAAAAAUAAAAUUCCUACUUUCUUCCACCACCCCCGGUGUCAGAGAUUGGCUUGCUGCACAAUGGGUGAGUGAACUCACUUCAGGUUCGGUAACAGAAGUACAGCUCCUAGCUGAACUGUGCUCAGACUCCUGACCCACAGAAACUGUGAGAUAACAAAC
This 799-nucleotide long non-coding RNA is filed under the name Equus caballus (horse). RNAcentral's name for it is "lncRNA (ENSECAG00000057302.1)". Lineage: Eukaryota; Metazoa; Chordata; Mammalia; Perissodactyla; Equidae. The record is from RNAcentral.